RNAcentral lists this long non-coding RNA (735 nucleotides) under Pan troglodytes (chimpanzee). Its description in RNAcentral is "lincRNA". The record is from RNAcentral. Lineage: Eukaryota; Metazoa; Chordata; Mammalia; Primates; Hominidae.
AUCCAGGAUGAGUUCAGACCCUGGGCUAUCCAUGGACCAUGGCUGACCCUUGGCCUAAAGCCACAUAUCCAGGCCUAUGAAAUGGAUUUUACCCAUCUGUGAUCUGAUUACCCUACCACUGCAUGCCUACAGCACCCAAGGAAUGCGAAAACAUCAUGUUCCAGGGACAGUCUUCAUUUGCGCUAGACAAAAGACAAACAAUCCUUCCUUGAAUGGACCCACUCUUCUUUUUUCACUCAUCUCCUCUCACUGAUCUCCCUGCUGGUGGUGGCGGAUAGAAGGCAGAGGUGUGGUCAACACCAAAUGAGAUUAUGUUCUGGGAAUUCAGAGAUUGCAGUCUGAAGAAUUCAAGAUAAGGUAUGACCUCCAUAAAGAACCUUCAUAUCAUCUUGCCCUGCAUGAAAGGUAUUAGAAGCCUUUUGUCUGGUCUUUCAUGGUACUUUUAAAGGAUAUUAUCAUUUACAAAAUGGAAUACCAAUGACUUUUCACAAGUGGUCUAUCAACUAAGCAUGUACUUACGUAAAUAUUUUCAGAGGAUUUCAUUAACCUCUGAGUGAAUAGUUGAAAAAAAAGAAUGAAACAGAUAUAAGUCCAUGUUUUUAUUUGUAAAUAAAUGUAUUGCCAAAAAUUACAUACAAAUAACAAAUAAUGUCUCGAGUGACAUGCAAUAAUCAAAAUCCUCAAAAGAAUACUUUUGUUUAGUAGAGAUUUGAAUAAAUAAACUACAAUUUAAGG